GAUUCACGCCUCCGCUAAACGUUUUAAAUUCUUACUGCACCAACUGAACCCACCUAUUCUCUAACAAACCGGACUAGAUCUGUGAUUUAGUUAAGAAUUCUGAACAACAGUGAUAACUAGCACUAUUAACAAUAACCAGCUUCCGUUGUUUGGUUAACUGUAGCCGACUGCUAGCGUUAGCUGAAAUAACUUUAGCAAUGAGAUACGGCUAACUAGCACGUCAGUUAGCACGAAGGCGGAGAAAAGCCACAUAUCAGCAACAACCAACGGACAACGUUGGCACAUAUUAACGCAAAUCUCAACGUGGACGUUCACCGACCGCUUCUGUGUCAUUAUCUUAACCCACCAUUAAAACAAAAGAUUCACAUCCACCCGAAGACACCGAGUAUGCACUUAGCCGAUAAUGCUAACAUGCUAGCUGUGAUGCUACUUACUCACCAACAUUCUGGUUCUUUAUGAGAUGAUGCAGAAAAAAGAAACCUCCAUGUGGCUUCCAGCCACCUACAGGGUGACCUGAUGAAGCCCUGCACAGGUGCUUCAGAGGAAAACAGACUCUAGGAAACAAUAUGGAGGCGCCCAUGGAGACAGACCACAGAAAACCCCAGAUACUGUCUUGGGGUUGCCGGGCAGUGAACAAAUUUGCACGAAACACCAGUCUAUAUUAUUGCAUGGUGAAUUAUGUAGUUAAGAGUCCCCUACAAUAUCUUAUUAAAUAUUCUUUAUUAAGAAAUGUUCACACAUCGAUGUCUAAUCUUGUUUUUAUUUAUUUCUGCAAAAAAAAAGUGAUGUCAUUGCUGGUAAACAUUAAAAUGAACCUUGUUUUACUAAUUAAACUAAAAUGAUCAACAACAAUGUGUAUUCUGACAGAGAAGGAAGGUAGGCAGCCUACCCCCUAACGGCUGAAAUAAUGUCAGUGAUUAUGUCUGUAAAAAGUCUUGACAUGACUUUGUUCUCAAAAUAAUGUUGUAUAAAUAAAGUUGAAUGGAACUGAA
Melanotaenia boesemani (Boeseman's rainbowfish) is the source of this 992-nucleotide long non-coding RNA. RefSeq lists it as uncharacterized. The record is from RefSeq and is a predicted model, not a curated record. The transcript is spliced from 3 exons. Lineage: Eukaryota; Metazoa; Chordata; Actinopteri; Atheriniformes; Melanotaeniidae.